This 301-nucleotide ribosomal RNA is filed under the name uncultured bacterium. Its description in RNAcentral is "partial 16S ribosomal RNA". It matches the Rfam family "Bacterial small subunit ribosomal RNA", at positions 509 to 807 of the family's 1533-position model. The record is from RNAcentral.
CAGUCGCCGCGGUAAUACGAAGGGUGCAAGCGUUAAUCGGAAUUACUGGGCGUAAAGCGUGCGUAGGCGAUUUGUUAAGUCUGCUGUGAAAUCCCCGGGCUCAACCUGGGAAUGGCAGUGGAUACUGGCAAGCUAGAGUGUGUCAGAGGAUGGUGGAAUUCCCGGUGUAGCGGUGAAAUGCGUAGAGAUCGGGAGGAACAUCAGUGGCGAAGGCGGCCAUCUGGGACAACACUGACGCUGAGGUACGAAAGCAUGGGGAGCAAACAGGAUUAGAUACCCGCGUAGUCCCUGUCUCUUAUAC